AUUGAACGCUGGCGGCAUGCUUUACACAUGCAAGUCGAACGGCAGCACGGGGGCAACCCUGGUGGCGAGUGGCGAACGGGUGAGUAAUAUAUCGGAACGUACCCGGAAAUGGGGGAUAACGUAGCGAAAGUUACGCUAAUACCGCAUAUGCCCUAAGGGGGAAAGCGGGGGAUUCGCAAGAACCUCGCGUUUUCGGAGCGGCCGAUAUCGGAUUAGCUAGUAGGUGAGGUAAAGGCUCACCUAGGCGACGAUCUGUAGCGGGUCUGAGAGGAUGAUCCGCCACACUGGGACUGAGACACGGCCCAGACUCCUACGGGAGGCAGCAGUGGGGAAUUUUGGACAAUGGGCGAAAGCCUGAUCCAGCCAUGCCGCGUGAGUGAAGAAGGCCUUCGGGUUGUAAAGGCUCUUUCGGUGGGGUAAGGAAAGUUAGCAUAGGCUAAUACCCUGUGUAGAUGACGGUACCUGGAGAA
RNAcentral lists this ribosomal RNA (470 nucleotides) under uncultured bacterium. RNAcentral's name for it is "bacterial SSU rRNA". It matches the Rfam family "Bacterial small subunit ribosomal RNA", at positions 30 to 486 of the family's 1533-position model. The record is from RNAcentral.